AUCCAGCUGACGAGUCCUAAAUAGGACGACACACGCACCCUGUAU
This 45-nucleotide non-coding RNA is filed under the name Schistosoma mansoni. The record is from RNAcentral. Lineage: Eukaryota; Metazoa; Platyhelminthes; Trematoda; Strigeidida; Schistosomatidae.